UGGGUUGUCUGGUGUUUUUCUUCAUGAUCGUGGUGCUGCUGUUGAUCCUGUACUGGAAGCUUCCGCUCUGCUGCAAAAUGAGGGUUUAUCAGGAAUCUCGUUCUGACGUGGAAUCUCCUCCUCAGUACUACAACAGCAGACAGACUCUAGUUGCUUCGUCUGAUGCUGAGCAAACACAUGACACUGGUCUUGAUCAUGUGGAUGCGCAGUUAUAAACCUGUAUGACCAAUAGGCACCGAAAUACUUUUCCUGAAUGGAAAGAUGUCCAGGUUUGGAACAACAUGAGGUCGGGCUCGUUGUUCCUCAUUGGUGUGCCGAGCAGCUACUACCUUUCCUCACUGGAGCCUCCUCUUCCUCGUCUGCCCUCGUAUGAGAGCGUUCGCAAGAAAGACAGACAGCGGCAGAUCCACAUCAUGAUAGCCGACCGAUUUGGCCUUAACGGACCUGUUGUGACAGAGCCGCCUCCCACAUAUGAGGAGAGCAUCCGUCAGUCUGUCCAGUCCAUUGACGUCCCGUUUGACAUCCUGGCACCCGAGGAGGAGCCGCCACAUGCACCAGUCACAGUCUCUGAGGCCGGCACAGAUUUACCUGCAUAUGAAGAUCUACCUCAAAUCACAGACUCACAAGAUCCCAAUACCACUCUUAAUUAAAGCGUGCUCAUGCACGGGAAGAAUGCGAUCUAUCCUCAGAGGAAAAUGAACUGCUGUUGAGCUGCCGCUGCCUCGAUGAGCGGCCGGCGUGUGCGUGAAUCCACUGUGCUCGCAAAAGACACCAAAAUAGGGUAGGACUCGACCUAUGCAAUAACUUGCACUAGCAAGUAGGAGAAGGAUGCUGCACCACUACUGGAAGAAACGGAGAGAAGAACAAGAAUAUGCCAUUUGAAUUAUCUAUUUAAGUUCUAUCUGUUCAAAACGAACAUGAAUCUGCUACUUUAUAGAAUUAUACUGACUAUAGAUAUUUCAGUGACUUUUCCAAGCCUAAAAAUGUAGAAAUUACAUCACAGAAUCUGCAGAAAAACUAAUUUAAGGAGUGGGGAAUGUCGAUUUCAGUUUGAUUAUAAAAAGUGACAUGAGGUAUGAAAACAAAUGUGUUUUUUUUUUUUUUAGAAUAACAUCCACUUAUCAGUCGUUCACAGUAACACUAGUGGCAUUUAUUAACUUUAAAUAAAUCUAUUGUGAGUUCAUGAUUAAUUAUUUCA
This is a long non-coding RNA of Cyprinus carpio (common carp), 1198 nucleotides long. NCBI's taxonomy places the organism in Eukaryota, Metazoa, Chordata, Actinopteri, Cypriniformes, Cyprinidae. The record is from Ensembl.